AGAUGUGUCAUCUUAGCAUGACUGAUGCGUUUGGAAAGGAUGAGUUUGUUCACUACGACGAUGGUGGCGAUGGUGGUGAGGAUAAAUGGUUUUGGAACUGCGAUUAUCGGAUUGUCGACCUCGACUUGGAGAGAGGGCUUGUUUUCCUCCAUGACCAGAAGGCAAAUAAGCUUCUUUCAUACAAUAUCAGUGGGGGGAAACUCAACGAGAUACAAGACGCCUUUGGGUGGGAUCGAUACUAUGUCUAUGUACCAUGCUACUCAGAGCUUCCAGCGCAAGAACCUUCGGUUCAGUGAAUGUCAAAUUCUAUUCAAUGCGCAUCUGUGGAUGUUCUGCUGCGAUAUGCUGAACCACCUUGUAUAUCACGCUAGCUAGUCGGAGUCAUCCGUGUGACCAGUCCAGGAACCCUGCCAUUUUUACUUUGUCGAUGCAGAGUUACGUUCCUGUACUAACCUAAAACUCUUCACCAUGUUCCUAGUUAAAUACCUUGUUUAAGUUUGCUAUAUAUCUUUUAUGUAAGAUUUGAUGUGCUGUUCGUUUGGCUCUGUUUGUGGUUGCGGUGGUUUUAAACCAGUACUUUCUUAUUUCUGUUUGAGAAUAGAUAUAACUGAUUUUGUUGCAUGAAUUGAAUUGGCAUUACAAUCCUACAUUACACCUGGACCUAUACAAACUUGGAGAAGAAUACCUCCAGGUGACCAAAACCAGCAAAUAUAUUGCUUUAGAGAAGUGUAGUGAGACAUGAUAUUAAUCCUAUGGACCUUGAGAACUAUGGCAUCUGCAUUGCAAAACGAUUUGGGGUAUCUUCCCCAUGUUGCGCAAAUGGUACCAGGGAUAUUUCCCUAUCAUGAGAGGGGAUCCCAUGGGCAGAGUAAAAUCAACCCUAGGCCUUGUUUGGUUGUAGUGAAACUAAUCUCCUAGUGGAACUAACCCACCUAGGGAUUAGGUUGACCCCUUCUUGUCACCCAAACCCUGCAAUACCAAUUAAUAUCUCGUUUGGUUCUAGACCCGGACGCAACAAUGGAGAUGAGCAGCCGCAGCGACUCAAGGGGAAGAGAGGGAGCAGCCUAGAGACGUGCCUCAUGUGGAUCGGUUCCACGGAUCAUAGGCUAUUAUUUUGCGUCCCGUGGAUUGAAGGAGAUCAACGCGGUUUGGGCUGGGAAGUUCCCCGCCAUGGCCCAAACCAAACACGUCAACUGGGAUCCACAGGGAACAGUUCCCCAUCAGAAUGAACCACGUGGAUCGUGCUUCCAUCCCGGACAAUCCAUGUGGAUUGUAUCCUAACCAAACAAGGCCCUAGGGGUUUGCUACCCUGGGUUUUCCCUCCCCAGCAAUCAAAUGAGCCCUAAGGGGCAACAAAUAUUUUUCUUCUUCAGUUAGUAGAGUUUUUCUUAAUCGGUACUCUUGCAUGUAUAUACAUAUACUUUCAGGGUUUACUUGCAAAGAGAUAAUUUUGCAUGACUUUCAGGGCAGUACUUAGUAAUUUUUUCUCAGUUUUCUCUCCGCAACUUCUGCCGCUGGCACCACUCCUUGGUGUCGUGCCGUUCUCCUUUUAUGUAAAAUCUAGAGAUUUACUUGCUGAAAUUUGAACGUGCGUACAGUUGGUACCAAUGAUAUGAAGAAAAGUUCAUUGCUCCUCCGCAAAAAAAGAAGUUCAUUGCUCCUUCCAGAACAUAUGAUUAAGAAAGAUGAACUGUUUAGUACUCCCUCUGAUCUAAACGCUCUUAUAUUUCCUUACGGAGGGAGUAAUACAACAUAUAAAAUAAAAUCAUUGAAGCACAAGGUAAAAAAAAAACUGUUGAAUCACGCAAUACUGGUUCAAUUAUCUCCUUUUCUUUUCCCACUCCAAAGUCGGCUCACCAGCAAUUGAUACCUCAGAGCAACGAAGCCAGAGAAACCUUUCAUAGACGGAUCACUUUGUUAUCCGUGAGGUGAGAUUGUUGUGUGAGAAAUACAUUGGAGGCUCAUGUGUAUAUUCAAGGUUCGACUUGCGCGUUCUGGAGAAAUGUCCAAGGAGAUAAAUGUCACCAUUAAAACCACCUGCUGGAAAAUAGAUGAUCCCAAAAUGACAAUGACACAGAAAUUGUGACAUAACUUAGGAGUACAUUAUUGUUUAAAACAAUAAAUCAAAUUUCAUUUACUAAAGAGCUGCAGAUUGUUGGCAUGACAAUGUAACUACAAGUACUGGUUCAAACAAGAAUUCUUUUGUGGAACUGAUUCCAACAUGACAGUUUCCCAUUCAAAGCAGCGAGAAAAUUUAAAGUGUCGAAAGUAUUUUUCUGGUCAUUACAUCUUGCAACGCAAAAGAAAAAACAUUCUGUGGGAUUUCCUUUUCUGAUGGUGAGCUCUACUUGCACUGAGUUCUUCUCCAUCGGAGUGUGGGACAGUUCUGAAAGAAGGAAUACACCAUCAGCACAAAAAUUUAAAAAUAAAAUAUAGUAAUGAACCAUAUGGGUACAGAACCUUCCCCCGCAAACAAAAAAAAAGGGUACAGAACCUUCCCCCGCAAAGAAAAAAAAGGGUACAAAACCUUAUGCUCUAACCAGGACAUGGAAAAUAGUGAUUGGAUUAAGAUCAAGAAACAUGCGUGAGUGCUGCUUGAUCCAUCAAAUGAGAAGACAGCUGCAUGUACGCUGACAAGUACUAACCUGCUACCAGUUAUAGAGAUUAUCACUGAGGUAAUCCGACUCAAUGGAUAGGUAGGACAAACAGAUGGAUCGCUAGCUAUCUCAUCACAUACGACAAUUCAAAUUACUAUUACGCCUCUGAAAUUGUAGCAAACAAAACAUUUGUACAAUUAAUUGCUAUGUUGAAAACUUUAGCAACAACAGAAACCUAUCUGGCUAUCUACUAUCCCGUUUCUCUGUAUGCAAACAUGGUAGAACUACUACUGUUUCAAUGAAGCAUACAGUUUAACACUACCCACACCAACAUCAAAUAACAAAACAUAGAGAAAUAUUUCUUGGAUAAUCAUGGACAAAGUUAAAUGAUGUGCAGAAGUAGACAUCAAAAUCUUCUAUAAAUUUGGCAAAAUCCUAACUUGCGCAAGCUGCAUACAAAGACUAAUUGGGCUGAAUGCUUACUGAACAAAGUUUUCGAUGUAAACGAAGUUCUGGUAAGUGGUAACAUACAAAAUGAAGCCUUCUCCACUUAACAAAGGGACAACCACCUGCAGCUACUUCAGGAGUUCCAUAUUUCCAGUUCUAGUGAAUUCAAUGGCGCCUUCUAAUCCACCUCAAUUCCUUAAGAACUAAAUUCACAUCUAAGUGGCAUUGUUCAUCCAAGAUUGAGCAAGAGCAUGGGAAGGGGACGACCACCUUCUACUAUUUUCGGAUUGCACGAGGUAAAAAGUUCAGAUCUGAAGAGGAGACACUCGAGGUAGUCCUCAUGUGUGUACUGAAGCGGAGAGACGUAAGCACACUGCAACGAUGUGAGGCUGGCAAUGGUCUCUCGUCCCACUAAGAGUGUGAUUUGAUCAGUAAUGAAACGUUGAGCAGCAGAGGACAAACGAAUGAGCAGAGCAGGUAAAGGUCACAACUUGAUUCCUAAAACCCUUUACUCUGGCAGGGCAGUAGCAACAGAGGAGAACAGAGGACACCAGAACCGGAAUGGAGAGGAAUGCACAACACACCUCUACGAGAGCAGGAUGGAUUCGUCAACCAAAUCAUCCUAUACUGGAGGAGGGCCUUAUGGCAAGCGAUCCCCUCUGGUACAUCUGGCCGCUCUAUCCACCCUGCCGAGGACACUGACAGUUUUUGGCACCGUCAAAGUUCAAGGAAAACUAAUCCUCCACUGCUACCAAUGACAUUCUUCAGGGGCACUCCGAAGCUCAGAUACUUCCAAUUCAGUGGCAACAGAAGUUCUAUCCUAAGCUGAACAUGGCAAACAGUGUUCCUAUUAACAAGAAGCAUGGUCAAGUUAAACCACAGCAUUAACUCCGAAGAACGGCAAUCGGAAAUUAUCCGACAGUGAAGAUAUUACAGACCUCAGUUUGGGGAUCUGGAGAAUGAUCAAAGAUCUGGUUAGGGCUCGCGAUCUUGGACUUAUUCCUGUGGGCCGGUGAGAGAAAUAUUCUAUAUUGGUGGACAAGCACGUCGGCCCUCACUGCUGCAAAACAGAAGGCGAUGGCCUUCCUGACCAUGCUUGUGACCUGGACUAUUUGGAAUGAGAGAAACACCCGUGUUUUCCAGAAGAAAUCAACGACGGCUUAUUACAUCAUGCAAAUCAUCAAGGAGGAGGCCGAUAUUUGGGUCGUCACGGAUGCGAGACAUUUGAGUAUUUUGAUGCCGCGAGAGUAAAAACCUUGUUGUCCUGAGACUGUUGCUGUAAUACUCCUUCUCCUUCGAGCAUUAACUCCGUAAGCUCUCUUCUCAAUUAAUGGAUGAGGCAAAUCUUUUGCCUCUGCUUAAAAAAAACUGCCAGAUAACUUUCCUUGGUAUUUAGAUGAUGUUAUUCAUAGCUCUCUCUACUGGUGGAUGUUUCCAUGUCCAGGGGUUCAAUACAGUAGGCCAUGAUCACAAAUGAUGUCCGAACAAAUCUGGAACUGUCAAUGUACACAAGUUUAAACAAUGGAAAAGCAUUUGUUAAUUACAACUACACCUCUAAAACUGUAGCAAAUAAAUCAUUAUAUCAGUUAGCAACUAAAUAAACCUGCUAUCCUUUUUCUAAUGCAACUAUUCCUAUGCAAACAUUGUGGAACAACUACUGUUUUAGUGAAUCUUGCAACAUAACCAUGGACAUAAUGAAAUGAUUGGUAAUUGAAUGAAGCGUUGGACUAGACAUCAAAUUCUGCCACAAAAUGGCUAAAUACAAACUUGUACAAGGUGCAACAUCAACAGUAACUCUUGCUGAAGCUUGGGUAGCUAUGCGACUGAACCAAGUUUUCUAUGUAACCAUAGUUGCAGCAACAAACAUAAUUUAGCAUUUUUUAACUUACCUAAGAAACAACCACCUACAGCUACUUCAAAGUGUUCAAAUUUCCACUUCAUCAAAUGCAUUAUCGUGUAGGGUUUGGUACCCUGAUCCUAGGUUCAGUAGAUAACCAAACCCUAAUAUCUAUCGCCAAGUUUGAAGUGCCCUAAACUAUAUCUCCAACCCACAACAUAUGUACAAGAGCAAGACACUCUUGUCAAGUAAAUGUUUUGGUAACUUCUUCCCUACCACCUACGGUGGCAUUGGUGCCAUGCGGACUUAUGCGAUAUCUCGCAGCAAUUCUUGCAAAUACCUUUACCUACACCGUGAGGAAAAUAGUUGAAUCUUCGAUGAAGUAAAGCAGAGAGAUAUCAUAAAAGAAACUCUUUUUUCACCUGUAUGCAACAAGCUUCACCAGUGCAACUGACAGCGGCAUAGAGUAUAGCAGACCCCAGCAUAAGCUCGUAUAUCCACAAAUUGAACUGCAUCCGCAAUCUUAAACAUCCGUUCUUCAGAGACACAUUUGCCCUGACAUAUAAAACAAAUUUCUCAAAUUAACAGUACAACCAGCAUUGCACACAUAGCAGAUACUCCCUCCAUCCCAAAAUUCUUGUCUUAGAUUUGUCUAAAUACGGAUGUAUCAAGUCACGUUUUAGUAUUAGGUACAUCCGUAUCUAGACAAAUCUAAGACAAGAAUUUUGGGACGGAGGGAGUAACUGACAAUCACAUUGCUAAAAAUGCACCCAUACGAAGGAAAGUGACUGUUUUAGAGAGGCUACAAAAACUCAAGUGGCUGGUACCAAUGUACAUACAAGAAAAUAUUGUAUUAGUACUUACUGUGCUUCUUGGGGAAGAUUAUAUGUGUAUACCUUCCCUAAUAGCCAUCAGAAGAAAUUAUCCCCAAAAAUUUCAACCAGCAUGACUACUUGGUCUACCUUUCCGCACCCAACAAAGAUUAAAAGAUUCAUAUUUCACAUUCUCGUCAUUUUGACACACAUCAAAAUGAACUCAAUGCUACAAGCUGGCCAUUUGGAUUUCUUAUACUCGCAUCAGGGCUUUAUGCAAGAAAAAACUUAAUUGUGCUUUCUUAGGAGUUAGUCUGAUAUGCAAUGUGUCACUUAGUCAACCAAAUCCAUCAAAAAACUGAUACUUUGCAGGGAGAAAUUUCACAUCCUCCUUAUAUUUCCCUUUCCUUGAAAAGAGAGACAACAUCAGUGAAGUAGUUGAAGCUUCAAGUAACAUGUUCUUCCCGUCAAGUUUCGACAAAUAAAGUCCGGCCAUGGUGAUCUCACCUUUUUCCAGCAAAAUUCUGAUAAUACUAUUUAUAAGACGAGAGCAGGGAGCUAUACCAUUCCUGUCCAUUGCUGAGAACAUAUUGUUAGCAUCUUCCACUGCUCCAUCUUUUAGAAUAUUUAUUAUCAUUACUCCAUAAGUCGAAGCAUUAGGAACCAACCCACUCGCUGAUAUAGCAGCAAACAAAUCUUUAGCUUCCUCUUUUCUUUUAACCUUGUACAUUGCAUUGAUCAUGGUAUUGAUUAUUGAAAUAUUGAACUUCACAUUCAUUGCAACUAAUUUCUGGUACAAGUCGAUCGCUUCUUCUGCACAAUUGUUUCUAGAAAGACCUGCAAGUAUAAUAUUGUAUGUGGAAAUGCUCACUGUUAUUCCGCUUUCGAUCAUCUCAUGGAACAUUUUCCUUGCAGCAACAGUUCUCCCAGCACGAAACAACCCAUCCAGUAUGAUGCCAUAUGUAGCACUGUCAGGUUUUAUUCUCUUACGUGGCAUUUGCCUGAACAGAGUCAAACCAUCAUCGAUCCUUCCAUUUCUAGAAUAGCCAUUAACAAGUGUAUUAUAUGUAACAACAUUAGGCUCAAUGCCAGCUGACACCAUGGCAUCAAGUACUCCAAAUGCUUUAUCCAUCUUGCCGACUAAGCAAUAUCCGUCAAUCAGUGAGUUAAAUGUAAUGACAUCAGGCUUCCCAUCUAUGCUUAUAACCAAUUCAAAGAUAUCUUGUGCAUCCAUAACCCGUCCUUCUUUGCACAAAUAGUUUAUAACUGAAUUGAAGAAAAACAAUGUUGGGACGAGGAAUACCUUUGCUUAUCAUGUCAGAAACUAACUCCUUGGCUUUAACCAAAUCUACAUGCAUACAAAACCCCUGAAUUAGGGAGUGAUAAACAGUUGUGCCCGGCUGAACACCCAUAUCAAUCAUCUCAUUGAACUUGUCCAUAGCAUCGGCCAGCCUACCCAAUCUGCAAAGUGCGGCUAUUACAGUGGAAUAGGUGACUACAUUGGGACUCACUCCUUUUUCCUGCAUUUCGGUAAAUAUGAGCAUAGCUUCAUCCAUCAUUCCACGUUUAGCAUAUGCAUCAAUUAAUAUGGUGAAAACAUGGCAGUCUGCUACAAAACCAUUGCUUUCCAUUGAAUUGAAGAGAUCAAUCAUAUCAGCAAAGCAUCCCUCAGUGGCAUACCCAUGAAGCAAAAUACGGUACGAGACGGCAUCCGGUUUGUGGCCCUUGGCAGUCAUGGAAUAAAAUAUUUCUGCCGCUUCUUUGCUUCUUCCAUGCUUGCAAAGGGAAGUCAUUAACGAGCUGCAAGUGACUGCAUUUGGUACAAGACCAUGGCUUGUCAUUUUUCUAAACAUUUUAGCAGCCUCUUUCAACUGCCCUGAUGUGGAAUAUCCAUGGAUCAUGCAAUUAUAUGUCACAUUAUUCGGUUGAGCACCACUAUCAACCAUCUGUUGAAGGACUAGCUCUGCCUUGUCCAUUUCUCUGGCCUUGCACAACGCAUCAAUAAUAGAGCUAUACGUGACCACAUUGGGCACAACCCCUUGAUGGAUCAUUUCAUGGAAUAGAUUGCAUGCCUUGCCUGUUUCGCCCUCCUUGAAGAAGCCAUGGAUGACUGUGCUAUACGCCACCACAUUGAGGGAGCAGGCACCUCCUCCUUCUGCCACCAUCUGGAGCAGGUCGAGUGCCCGCUGACUCAUGCUAUUCUCGCAUAAGCUCUUCAGAACAAUGUUGUAUGAGAAGGCAUCAGGCACGCAGCCAAGCUCGGGCAUCCUAUGAAGCAGCAAGUUGAUAGCCUCAUUUGUACGUUUGGCAUAGCAGAGGCACUUGAGGAAGGUGUUGGCGAUGAUCUCAUUUGUCUUCAGGCCUGUCCUGAGGAAGCGUCCGAAUAAGGCAAGCCCUAGGUCCGGGCGACGCGCGCGGCAGCAACAGUCCAUGGGGAUGCCGUAGGUGUGGACUGUGAGAUGCGCCACCCGCGAGCCGGCUUUUUCUGUGCACACGCGGUUGAAGAGAGCGAGGGCGAGGGCAGGGCCAUCUCUGCUGCAGGCUGCGGAGGCGGGCGCACGGGCAAGGGUGGCAAGGAAGCCGUUCAGGGAGCGGCUGGGGACCGGGGUGCCCUGCCGCAGCAAUUCGUCGAACAGGUGGUGUGCUUUUCUUCAGGGCUGAGCGUUCCAGCGCUGACGCGCGCCGUGGCCGCGGCAAAGGCGCCUUCGGGAGACCAGGAACGUGAGGGGGGCGAGAUGGAGGUAGAGGAGGAGCUGCGGCGGAGGAGGUGGAACAUCGGCGUGGUGGAGGAGCGGCGGAGGCGGAGGCGGGACAUCGGCGACGUGGAGGAGUAGUGCGGACUGAGGCAGAGGGCCGGAGAUUGGCUAGUUGGAGGAGAAGGCGGCGUGGCGGAGCCGCGGAGGCCGGAGAUUGCCUAGGUGGAGGAGGAGCGGCGGCGGCGGAUGCAGAUGCGGGACAUCGGCGUGCGCUAGCUCUGGCUCUGCAAUGUGUUCGUACGCAGUGUUCCUUUGUGCUCUGCACUGGGAGAGAUGCAGAUGAGAUGAGUGUGAUUUUUUUUUUAAUAGAACGAGUGCGAUACUUGUAUGGUUUUGCUAAUGGUUGGUCACCUUCUCAGUCGGUGUCAAGAUCAUCGAUUUUGCCGUUGAGAUAUCAAAUUUUGUUGAUACUCCCGCCGUCCCACAAUACGUUAUCCUAAACCUAGUAUAAAGUUGUAUUAAGUUUAAGACAGUUAUUUUGGGAUGGAGGGAAUACAUGUGAUUAACAUGACAACCUACAAUAGGCUUGAUUUUGGUGCAAGUCUCCACAAGUUCAUCUAUAAACAGGAUACUCCUUGGGUUUGGUUCUUGUGGAAUAGAUACUACUCCCUCUGUCCCAAAAUAAUUAGACUCAAUUUUAUACUAACUUUGUACUCUCUUCGUCCGAAAAUACUUGUCGGAGAAAUAGAUGUGUCUAGAUGUAUUUUAGUUCUAGAUACAUCUAUUUUUUAGACAAGUAUUUCCGGACGGAGGAAGUAUUAAACUUAGUACAAAGUUGAGUCACUUAUUUUGAAACGGAGCGAAUAUUUGCAUGGCGCUCCCUCACACCCAACCACAUUGUGAUUCCUUUUGGUGGCGUGACAUUUUAUCUCUGAUGGACAUUUAUCGUGAUAUUACUUCUUACAUUGUUGGGGCCGGUGAGAUGGCUCUAUUUUGGAAAGAUGUGUGUUCUGGUCUAAGUCCACUACAAGAUCAAUUUGCGUGACUUUUCUCUUUCGUGGGUGAGGAGAAAAUUUCCAUGCAAGAUUACCUUGUUGAUGAUAGCCCUGCCCACGCCCGAAUAUUCGAUUCAACACCCAGGCUCAAAUGCUCCCUAAAUCAACACCAUUAAAAUGCAUAUGGAUCUGUGCCAGCAGCUGUAUUUCACCAACGUAUAUCACGAGUAUUUAGGCUGGUCAUAGUGGGAGUAAUAUAAGUAGUAUCUGUUAGGUUGAUCUUUCUCUAGUUCGAACCCAAUGGGUCGAACAGGCCCCUGACUCGCGCCCUGAUCGGGGGCGCCCAACCAAACCAUGGUUGGUGGGCUCCUGUGACCCGCGCUAUAUAAAUAGAUAUGGGGGCCGGGGCACGACUUACGAGGUUAAUCGCUGCCACAAUCCCCACCUACAAUCCCUACCGAUCUAGGGUUAGCCGGUGCUCACGGGAAGCACACCACCGCCGCCAUCUCACUGCCAUCACCGCCGCCACAACAUCACCAUGGCUGCUGGUUCGAGCUCGCAAGGCAAGGCAGAAGGUAGGUUUACCGGAUCGAUCUAACCUAUCCGAUCCAAAGUGAAUCUAUCAAUGGUAUCAGCCAGAUCGGGUUAGACCUUUUCGGUAGAAAGAAAUCACAGUAAAAGUAAAUCCCUCCCCAAAGAACCCUAAAAAGACAGGGCAAAGUAAACCAGAGAAGGCCUUGGGCCGCCGGCAAAGUGCGCCACCACUCCGGUCGCGCCUGUUCCUCUCGAUCCCCACACGCAUCGGCAAGCCGAGGUGCGGGGACGAAGAACCACCCCGCUAGGGGCAAAGUGCACCGCGGCCGAUCCGUUCGACGGCGGCGCGCUCACCACAGAGGGGAACGUGCAGCCGGCGAAGGGAAUGGCAACGACGCCACCGUCGAGCUCCUCUCUAUCUCUCUCACUGCUGGGUAGUGGUGGAAGAGAGAAAAAGAAAAGAACGUAAAGGAAGAGCCUCGCCGCGCCGGGAAGCCUCGCCGUCGGCGGCUGGUCGGCGGCCAGAGGGAACCACGGGCGCACAGGGGAGCAGAGGAGGCCCCGCCGCGUCGCUCUCUCUCUCUAUCGCACGAAGAAGAGGGUGAAGAGGGAAGAAAGGACGAGAAGGAGAGGCUCGCGCGGCACGGUGGCAUCCGCCGUCGUCACCGGCGGCCGGGGCGAAGCCCGUCUCUCCGCCGUCAGUGGAGUGCGCGAGAGAGGCGCGGGGGCUGGGGAGGAAUGAACUAGGGUUUCCCCGCUAGCGCUGUGAACCUCUGUUUCGUUCGAGCGAAACGGGUGCCCUGCCGUCGGAUCUCCACGGACGGUGCAGAUCGAAAACCUAGCUCGGCGCUGGGCUUGUCGGGCCGAAAGAGGAGCUGGGCGCAGCCACGUGCUGGGCCUCAGCCAGCUGCCGCGGGCGCAACCGCGCAGGCACUGGGCCGAGGCUGCAGCUGCGGGCGGCCCAGGCCGGGUCGAGGCGGCUCGGCUCGCGCGAGCGUGCGGGNNNNNNNNNNNNNNNNNNNNNNNNNNNNNNNNNNNNNNNNNNNNNNNNNNNNNNNNNNNNNNNNNNNNNNNNNNNNNNNNNNNNNNNNNNNNNNNNNNNNNNNNNNNNNNNNNNNNNNNNNNNNNNNNNNNNNNNNNNNNNNNNNNNNNNNNNNNNNNNNNNNNNNNNNNNNNNNNNNNNNNNNNNNNNNNNNNNNNNNNNNNNNNNNNNNNNNNNNNNNNNNNNNNNNNNNNNNNNNNNNNNNNNNNNNNNNNNNNNNNNNNNNNNNNNNNNNNNNNNNNNNNNNNNNNNNNNNNNNNNNNNNNNNNNNNNNNNNNNNNNNNNNGUUCAAAUUAAUCCAAAGAUUUUUUGUUCCAGAAAAAGAAAUUGUCAUGAAUUUUAUAAAGAAAAUUAAUAAAGUUCAUGAUUUUAUAUUCGGUCAUAGAAAAGUUUCUGUAAAAAGUAAAAGUUCGUGAAUUUUUAUUCAUGUUUUUCCGCUGCGUAAAUAAUUAAUGCUCUUUUACAAAGAAAAUAAAAGUUUACAUAGUAUUAAGUUUUUAAGAGCAUGUUAAAGUGAUUAUUAAAAUGAAUAUGAUUAUGUUAUUUUUUAUGACCAACGUUGUUAAUAACAUGAUCAUGUUUUAUUAUUGAAAUUUAAAGGUGCAUUUAUUUCUAAUUUUUUGCCCAACGGUAAUAUAGAUUUAAUUGCAUAUACAAUUGUAUGUUUAAUUUGACCAACGUUAGAUUAAUGCAUAUGAUUGUUAUACUGAUGUCACUUAAAUUGUGAUUUCAGGAGGCUUUCACUUGAUGAGUUGCCUAAAAGAUGUUCCGACACUCAGAAGUGACAAUCACACUGAGUGGAGGAAGAAAGUUGAACUGGCAUUUGUGUGUGCUGAUCUGGACUGGGUUCUGGAUGAACCACAGCCGAUCAGACCUACAGAGCCAGUAAGAGAGGCCACUGAUGAUGAUGAUGCUUGGGCUAAAAGAAGGGGGACCAUGCUCCUUUGGAGAUGUCCUACAUCAUAGAAAACCAAAAGUGGUCAAUGCAAACAAAAAGUGCAUGGCAUUUAUAAAGAAUACAAUUGAGAGCACCAUUGUGGGCUCCAUUGCAGAGUGCACUUCCGCAGGGGAGUUGCUUACAAAGAUAAAGAACCAGUUCACUGGCUCCUCAAAGAUAUAUGCCACCCAGGUGUUAGAGCAACUGGUGACAGAACGCUACACGGGUGGUAGUUGAAAGGAUCGAUAUAGUUGACUAGAGGGGGGGUGAAUAGGCAACUAACACUUUUUAGCUUUUCUUUACCAAUUUAAACUUUGCAUCAAAGUAGGUUGUCUAGAUAUGCAACUAGGUGAGCAACCUAUAUGAUGCAACAACAAUAAGCAUACACGCAAGCAAGAGAUAAGGCACAAAUAAGCUUGCACAAGUAAAGGCACGAGAUAACCAAGAGUGGAGCCGGUGAAGACGAGGAUGUGUUACCGAAGUUCCUUCCCUUUGAGAGGAAGUACGUCUCCGUUGGAGCGGUGUGGAGGCACAAUGCUCCCCAAGAAGCCACUAGGGCCACCGUAUUCUGCUCACGCCCUCACACAAUGCGAGAUACCGUGAUUCCACUAUUGGUGCCCUUGGAGGCGGCGACCGAACCUUUACAAACAAGGUUGGGGCAAUCUCCACAACUUAAUUGGAGGCUCCCAACGAUACCACGAAGCUUCACCACAAUGGACUAUGGCUCCACGGUGACCUCAACCGUCUAGGGUGCUCAAACACCCAAGAGUAACAAGAUCCACAAGGGAUUAGUGGGGGGAUUCAAAUAUCUCUUGGUGGAAGUGUAGAUCGGGGCCUCCUCAACCAAUCCCUAGAGAAUCAACAAGUUUGAUUGGCUAGGGAAGGAGAUCGGGCGAAAAUGGAGCUUGAAGCAACAAUGGAGCUUGGAGGUGGAAGAGGUAGUCAACUAGAGGAGGAAGACACCCCUUAUAUAGUGGAAGAACAAAUCCAACCGUUAUCCACCAACUCAGCCUACGCAGCGCGGUACUACCGCACUUGAGGCGCGGUACUACCGCAGGGGCACGCGGUACUACCGCGGAGCCCCGCGGUACUACCGCCCACGCAGCAGAGACCAGAACAGCCACACAUGCCCUAAGGCAGAGGGCGGUAGUACUCCUGGCGCGGUACUACCGCUCUCCCUUGCGGUACUACCGCAAGGCAGGGGCUGUCCAGGGAUGGGAAGGCACGGAUAUAAAAAAUUACAUCCGUGGCUACUUCUGUAGAGUUGGAGUCGAUGGAAAAACCCGACGCGGUAGUACCGUAAGCCAGCCGCGGUACUACCGCGCGAGGCGCGGAUGUAAAAAAUUACAUCCGCCCCUUACUGCCGCGUACUUGCGGAACUAAGCAGGGACCACGGUACUACCGCUUACUAGAAGCGGUACUACCGUGGGUCCUUGCGGUACUACCGCACCAGCGGGCGGUACUACCGCAAGGUCCUGCGGUACUACCGCUCUGACGAGCAGUACUACCGCACCCCCUAGUUCGGCAAACAAGAGCUAUAUUUGCAUAGACAAGGAAAACAUAGGAUGCUCCAAAGGCAAGAGGAAAGGAGGUGCAAGGGACGAUGUGUACGUGAUGAAUCUACCCAACCUUUCCAACGCGGACCCCCUCUUAAUAGUAUGGCUUCCCUAUGACUCAAUAGCACCGAAAAGAACCGAAGAGAAACGUCGUCUUCUAUAGCCUUCGAGGGAAACCCAAUCAUCUUGUGCCUAGUCAAUAUAUCUGAAAUAUUCGAUGCACAUGAUUAGUCCGCAAAAGCAUUGUCAUCAAUCACCAAAACCAACUAAGGGAUAAAAAUGCCCUUACAAUCUCCCCCUUUUUGGUGGAUUGAUGACAACACGGGAUUUGCACGAGGGUAUAACGCAAAGAGCAAGGGCAAACCCCAAGUCUCUAAAAUAUAGACGGGCUCCCCCUAGAUGUGUGCUAUCUCGAUGAGUGCUUUGGACUGCACAGCACACAUACUAGGAUCAACACUCCCCCUAUAUUUUAUAGACAUGGCAAAUCUUGCAAUAAGGCUAAAGCUAAGCAAGAUAGACAGGAGCAAAAUGUAAUAAGCACAAGAUAGAAUAAGCUCACUACAAUACGAUAGAGUGCAUAUGUCUUACACCGUAUGAUAGAAGGUCUCACGAGCACAAACCAAAGCAAACCAAAGCAAACGAAAUAAACGAAGUUCAACUGACCCAAACACGACACAACUCGCAAAUCCUACACUCUCUCCCCCUUUGGCAUCGAGACGCCAAAAAGGCAGAGAGGACACCUACAGCAAUAGUGGUGGCUCAAGCGAAGUAGUCACUUGCACACUCCUCGUCAGACUCUGCAGCUGGGACGGACUCCUCCUCAGACUCGGUCCACCGAUAGCCCUGCUUGUGCAGCCAUUCUGCCUCUGGGGUGAUGUUCACCUCUGACCCGCUAGAUAUGUUCUCGCCAAAGGUCCUGAAAAUCCGCUUGUCGCGGCGGCGAGUCUCCUUGGAAGCCACAUGGGUCUGGUACUGCCCCUUUGCUUGCAUACAGAACAACAUCUUCAUCUUGUUCUUCAGUCGCUUAGCCGAAGAAGGCUCAGAGGUGGGAGGGAUGUAACCCUCAGAGCUGUCCUCGUCUGCUGCCUCCUCCUCAUCCUCAUCUGCAUCCACGUCCAUGGCAGCCGCAGUAUCAGCACGAGAGGUAGUGUUGGCCCACUGAGGCUUGAUACGGAGGUUGAUGGGCUCAUGCCGGAUCCAACCAGGGGCCUCAAACUCAUCCUGAGGGUAGACCCGCUCCCAAGUAGCCAAGAUCAACUGAAACAAAUAAGGUCCAUAGAUGGGGACCUUGCGGUUGUAGACCGCAAACCGAAGCUCAUGCCACAUGAUAUGUGAGACAUCAAGUGGCUGUGUCUGAGAGUUGCGAGCAUCUUCACACAAGAGCAUCAUAUCCACCAGAUAGGCAUGCACCUUGUCCUUGUCCCCAAUGCAUGGGAAGAGAGUGUUGCGGAAGAUCCGGUGCAUGAUGUCAAGAAAGGAGUUGAGUACCCAAGAUGACUUGCCAUUGGAGAGCUUCUUCUCCACAUGGUAGGGCAUGAGCUUGUUCUUAUUGGCAGACUCGGGAUUGGCAUGAGGGCGAACACCUUGGGGUGUGGCGAGCCCCUCAUCCGGAACCCCAAGCAAGGUCAUGAAUUCCUUCCAAGUAGCAGUCAGCUGCCGGCCAUUGGUCAUCCAAGUCAUGGUCCUUUCCUCAUUGGGAUGAAAAUGCACUGAGGCAAAGAACUGAGCAAGGAUCUCAGGAUCAUAGUCUUUGUGGAAUGAGAUGAUAUGCUCAAUGCCAAAUUGCUCCACGAGGUCCAAAGCCUCACCAAAGUAUUCCUGGUGCGCCUCUUUGCGCAUGUGAUGCAUGUUGAUCCACUUCACCUCCACAUGGGUAUUUUGCUUGGCCUUGAUGACAUCCAAAUAAAUGAGAUUCUGCUGCUUGGUCCAGAAUAGAUCAUUCCCUCGAAAGUUAGCACGAGGGUUUCCAUACGGAUUGAUCUUCCUCCGAGCGAUGAACUCAGCAAGCGAUAUCUCAUCCAUACCCUUGGCGGGUUCCUUCUCUUUGGUGGCAGUGGUCUUGGUUCUGCGUUGGGGGCAUUGGAGCCCUCUGCUUCCUCUGUGUUGCGCAUAUGCUUGGAUCCCGUGUCACGGCUUGGAUUGGAGCGGCGAGCCAGAGCACCUGAGCCACCACCUAAACACACACCACAAAACAAACAUGCACGAAAUGCGAGAAGGAUCAAUGCAAAGACCACAACAAAGCAGGAGAAACAAAUAGACAUGGCACGUGAGAAGUGCCACAAGAGGAAUUUGAGACAACGGUAGUAAUGUGUGUUGCGCCACGUGCGGUAGUACCGCUCCAAGAAGCGGUAGUACCGGACGUGCGGUAGUACCGCACCAGCAGGGCGGUAGUACCGGACGUGUGGUAGUACCGCACGGUUGCAGAUCCGAAAUAGCCAUGGAGAUCUGAGCACAACCGUGUCAACACGCGGUACUACGGUCGAUCAAAUCCAUCACGGGACAACUAUAGCAAGUACCAACACUACACAAAACUACUCUCCUACAUCCUACUCUUGCAUAGAUUUGGCCUAAAAUCUCAAGAACAACUUGCAUCUCCCCAAAACCUAAAAGCAACAAGACGAACAAUAAAAAGAGAGGUGGGGAAGAAACUUUGUUCCAUGGCAAGAGGGAGUGGUGGGGAACGAUCCCACCGGUCGGAAUCCGAGGAGAGCGGCCGGAGACGGAGAUCCGGCGAGGACCUCCGGCGCCGUUCUUGAGUGAGAGAGAGAGAGAGAGACGAAGUGGGGAGAGAGACGAAUGGGUAUGGGGGAGUUAGAACUCCCCCUGCCCGUGUUUAACCCCCACGCGCCCUUGACCGCACGGUAGUACCGCAUGUCAUCGCGGUACUACCGCCCCGGGCGGAAGUACCGCACCGUGACUUUAGUACCGCUCCUCCAGGCGGCAGUAAAAAAUUACUGCCGCGCUGGGUGCGGAAGUACCGUGCACUCCUCACGCGAUAGUACCGCACGUCAUUGCGGUAGUACCGCUCGGGCGGAAGUACCGCACUGAGGCCAUAGUACCGCUCCCCAGGCGGCAGUAAAAAAUUACUGCCGCGCUGGGUGCGGAAGUACCGCGCGCCCCCCUUGCGGUGGUACCGUGGCAGGUCGCGGUAGUACCGUGGGCUAAAAAAACAGUUUCAACCAAAAGAUAACACCUACGCACGGAACCUUCAAGCGAGAGACCACACCAAAGAACUAACACACUGGACACCACAAGCACGAGCUCGCCACGAAGAAAGAGAGGCAAGAACCAACAUAGACCAAAAACGAGACACAACCUCUCCAAGGAGAGGGCGGUGGCCGGAGCCACCUAUGUUUGAGUCAAUUGGUAUGGCACCGCGAAGAAUUAUCCUUGGGCCCAUGACCAAAACUCGUCUUUGAAGCACAAGUAACAUCAAAAAUGGCUAAUGUGAAAGAGUUGAUCACUUUAUGCAUAAUGGGGGGAGGGAGAGUUCAUUGAGAGAACAACACCCCCCCUAUGUCCAUGCCUACACCUAGCUUAGACAACAAGUUGAGUGUAGUGGGGUGUGCAAGGGUUCAAGCAACAUUGCUCGAAUCAAUGAUAUUUAGCUCAUGCCUUAACUCGCGAAAUCUUGCUUCAUCCAAAGGCUUCGUGAAAAUAUCUGCAAGGUUAUCAUGGGUGUUGACGUAGUUGAGCUCGAUCUCCCCUCGCCUAAUGUGAUCUCGGGUGAAGUGAUACCGAAUCUCAAUAUGCUUCGUCUUGAAGUGUUGCACGGGUUUGAGAGAAAUCUUGAUGGCACUUUCAUUAUCACACCAAAGAGGCACUUUAUCACAAAUGACACCGUAAUCCUUUAAAGUUUGCCUCAUCCAUAAGAGUUGUGCACAACAACUCCCGGCCGCCACAUACUCCGCUUCGGUGGACGAGAGAGACACACAACUUUGCUUUUUAGAAGACCAACUUACCAAAGAGCAACCAAGGAAUUGGUCCCCUCCGGAAGUGGACUUCCUAUCCACUUUGUCUCCCGCCCAAUCGGAGUCCGAAUAUCCUACAAGCUUGAAGUUUGCUCCUCUUGGGUACCAUAAGCCAAAGUUUGGGGUAUGAGCCAAAUAUUGAAAGAUUCGCUUGACCGCCACAAAGUGGCUUUCCUUAGGUGCGGAUUGAAACCGUGCACAAAUUCCCACACUCAACAUGAUAUCCGGUCUAGAUGCACAAAGGUAAAGCAAGGAACCAAUCAUGGAGCGAUAUACCUUUUGAUCCACCGCUUUACCAUUGGGAUCGAUGUCAAGUUGGCACUUGGUGGGCAUUGGAGUGGACGCCGGCUUGACAUCACUUAGUUUGAAUCUCUUGAGCAUGUCUUGAGUGUAUUUGGCUUAGUUGAUGAAGGUUCCUUCUUUUCUUUGCUUUACUUCGAAACCGAGAAAGAACUUCAACUCUCCCAUGGAAGACAUCUUGAACUUUGAGGUCAUGAGUGCGGCAAAUUCCUCAUUGAAAGCUUUGUUAGGGGAACCAAAGAUAAUGUCAUCAACAUAUAGUUGGCAUACAAACAACUCCCCUUUGACCUUCUUAGUAAAAAGAGUGGGGUCGAUUAGCCCAACUUCAAACCCACGAUCUUGUAACAACUCGGUGUGGUCAUACCACGCACGUGGGGCUUGUUGAAGGCCAUAGAGUGCCUUAUCGAGUUGAUACACAUGAUCGGGAAAGUAGGGAUCCUCGAACCCGGGGGGUUGCUUGACAUAAACCAACUCAUUAAUGGGACCAUUAAGAAAAGCACUCUUCACAUCCAUUUGUUGCAACUUAAAGUUGUGAUGAGAAGCAUAAGCAAUCAACAAACGAAUAGAUUCAAGGCGAGCAACGGGAGCAAAUGUUUCACCGUAGUCGAUACCCUUGACUUGGGAGUAGCCUUGUGCCACUAAUCGUGCCUUGUUGCGAAUGAUGGUCCCAUGAGCAUCUUGCUUGUUCUUGAAUAUCCACUUGGUUCCAAUGACAUUGUGGUUCCCCGUUGGCCUCGGCACUAAUCUCCACACCUUGUUGUACUCGAAGUUGUUGAGUUCUUCAUGCAUGGCAUUAAGCCAAUCCGGAUCUUCGAGUGCUUCAUAUACCUUAUGGGGUUCAACACAAGAGACAAACGCGUGAUGUUCACAAUAGUUUGCCAAUUGUCUACGAGUGCUUACCCCCUUUUGAAUGCUUCCAAGCACAUUCUUCAUGAGAUAACCCUUGGUGGAGAGCUUGGAUGCAAUCUUGGCGGCACGACGCUCCAAUUCCUCCUCGGUGGUGAGUCGAGGAGCGGUCACUUGAUCAUCUUGAGCGCCGUCUUGAGCUUGUUAUUGAUCUUGAACUUGCUCGGAGGAGAGAACUUGACCUUGGGCAUCACUUGGUGUGUCACCACUGUCUUGAGCAUGAUCUUGCCCUUGGUCUUGUUCAUGAGGUUGAGGGCCUUCACUUUGUUCUUCGGAAGCGUGUGGGCCUUGGGUUGGUGAUGGCUCCACUUGAGUGGAGCAUUGUCCUUCUUCUUCGGCCACAAGGGGUUCCUCAAUGGGUAGUAUAAAACCAACACCCAUUCUUCUUAUGGCUUGAGGAGGAAUUUCAUCACCUACAUCACAAGUGCCACUUUGCUCCACUUGGGAGCCGUUAUUCUCAUCAAACUCCACGUUACAUGUCUCCUCAAUAAGUCCCGUGGAUUUAUUGAGGACACGGUAAGCAUGAGAGUUUGUAGCAUAACCAACAAAUAUGCCCUCAUAAGCUCUAGCCUCAAAUUUAGACAACCGAACACCUUUCUUGAGAAUGAAACACUUACACCCGAACACCCGAAAGUACUUGAGGUUGGGCUUGUUACCGGUGAGUAUCUCAUAUGGAGUCUUGUUCAAGCCCUUGCGGAGGUAGAGCCGAUUGGAUGCAUGACACGCGGUGUUGAUGGCUUCGGCCCAAAAGUUGUAUGGAGACUUGAAAUCCGCCAUCAUGGUCCUUGCCGCAUCCAUCAACGUCCGAUUCUUCCUCUCCGCAACACCGUUUUGUUGAGGGGUGUAAGGUGCGGAAUAUUGAUGCUUGAUCCCCUCAUCACUAAGAAACUCAUCCAAGGUGUAGUUCUUGAACUCGGUGCCGUUGUCACUUCUUAUUGUCAAGAUCUUUGUAUUGUGUUGACGUUGGGCUUCAUUCACAAAGUCAAUGACGAUUUGUUGGGUCUCGCUCUUCCUCUUGAAGAAAUACACCCAAGUGUAUCUUGAAUAGUCAUCCACAAUCACCAAGCAAUACUUCCUACCCCCAAGACUAUCAAAGGAUGGAGGCCCAAAGAGAUCCAAAUGAAGGAGCUCCAAAGGCCUCUUUGAGUAAAUGAUAGUUGUGGGAGGGUGAGCCGUCUCAUGUAGCUUUCCUUCGAUACAAGCACUGCAAGCACGAUCUUUAGCAAAACUAACAUUCGUUAGUCCACGGACAUGGUCCCCCUUGAGAAGACUUUGCAAAGAUCUCAUAUUGACAUGGGCUAAACGGCGAUGCCAAAGCCAUCCCACGUCAACUUUAGCCAUUAGGCAUGUCGCGGUCUUAGUGGGUCACUCCGAAAAGUUAAUCACAUAGAGACCGUUCUCGACAUGCCCAACAAAGGCUACUUUAAGAGUCUUGCUCCACAAGAGGGCCACGGUAUCAAUAUCAAAGAAAGUGGCAAAGCCCAUGAUUGCAAGUUGACGAACGGAAAGUAAAUUGUAUGCAAGGGACUCAACAAGCAUGACCUUCUCGAUCAUGAGAUCAUGAGAAAUGACAACUUUGCCGAGUCCCAAUACCUUAGAAGAGGAGGCAUCACCCCACUCGACAUUGGUGGGCAUAGAUGGAAUCUUGUGCAUGUCCACCACCAAGUCCUUGCUUCCGGUCAUAUGAUUUGUAGCUCCACUAUCGAGCAACCAUGAUCCCCCACCAGAAGCAAACACCUACAAGAGAUCAAUGCUUGGUUUUAGGUACCCAUUUUGUAAUGGGUCCUUUGAUGUUAGUAACAAGGGUCUUAGGAACCCAAAUAGACCAUUCAAUAUACUCAUGAGGAGAACCAACAAAUUUGGCAUAAACAUGCCCAUCACUAGCACGGCAUAGCACAUAAGAAGGAUUAAAGUCGCCGGCUUUGUUGGAAGGGGUGGCAUUGCCCUUCUUGACACCGCCACCCUUCGCAUUGUUCUUCUUCUCCUUGGAAGCACCCUCUCCCUCCUUCACAAAAGUUUGCUUGAGAGGAGGAGGUCGUUUGGUCUUGUCAUUCUUCUUCUUGUUCUUGGGCUUGGGUGCGAACCCAAUCCCCUCCUUGGCCACAACUUCCUUUUGAUUGCUCAAAAGGUCGUUGAGGUUCUUCUCACCUUGUAUGCAUGACAUAAGGCCUUUCUCAAGUUGCUCCUUCAACUUAGCAUUCUCCUCAACAAGAUGCACAUGCUCACAACAAUGGUUAGUAGCAUUUGCAUUAUCAAUUAACACCAUAUGAGGAAAGGUGGCUUUCUCCUUAGUUAGCUUCACUUGGAGUUGAUCAUGAGACUCCUUGAGGCUAGCAUGAACACCCUUCAAGACUUUGUGAGCCUUGUCGAGAAUGUCAAACUCCUCUUUGAGUCUAGAAAGAUCAACCCCAAGCUUUGCCUUCUCGGAGUUUAGCACACGAGACACAACAAGAGCAUGAUCAAGAUCUUUAUUUAACUUAGCAUGAUCAUCGUUGUAUGACUCCUCAAGAGCCAAACGAAGACCACACUCUUCGUCAAGAGCAUUGGAAAGAUCCGAAAUCUCAUCGGCAUAGUCACGACUAUGCCCCUCCAUCUUAGAGAUGGUAUCUUCGUGAGCCUCGAUCAUGUCAUUGGCUUCACCAAGUUGUUCCAAGAGAGAAACGAAGUGCUUCUUGGAUUUACCCUUGAGUUUACCCAUAAAGGUCUCAAACUCAUUUUCCUCCACAUUUGUCCCCUCAUGUUCAUCAAUGCUAUCUGUCGAAGAAGGAUGAUUAAUGAUGGUAGUUUUGAUGUUGGGGGUUACCUUGUUGGUGGCUUUAGCCAUGAGGCACUUGGCGGUUAUGUUCUCAUUGGGUGAGUCGAAGAGAGAUAUCCGUGGAGUCAUCGCAAUGGCAACGGAGGCCAUGGCAAUCGACUCACCAUCUUCAUCAUCGUCAUCAUCCUCAUUGUACUCUUCUUGUACGGCCAAUGCCUUGGGAGGAGUCUUCUUGGUGAAGUUGCUCUUGUUGGGGAACGACUUGGCCUUGUCCUUUCGAAUGAGCUUGCCACCAUUGUCUUCCCUCUUCUCGUAAGGGCACUCCGCAACAAAGUGGCUCACAUUGCCACAAUUGAAGCAAGUCCUCACUCGUUGCUUGCCCUUUGCGCCACUUGAAUUGUUCUUGUUGAAGUUUGGCCUUGAGUUCUUCUUGCUCCAAAAUUGCCUUGAAGCAAUAGCCAUGUGUUCAUGAUAGGCAUACUUCGUAUCUUCGAGGUUGCUCUCCUCUUCUUCCUCUUCAUCCUCUUCCUCCAUACUAACCUUGGCCUUUAGAGCAAGGUUGGGCUUCUUUACUCUUUGAGAGCGAAGAACCGCAUUGUCGGCGGUCUUGUCCAAGAUGCUCAUAGCAACGAACUCAUCCAACACUUCUUGAGGACAAGGUGUGGAAGUCCGGCCUUUGACGAAUGACGGAGGACAGGGCUUUGUGGUAGGGCAUCAUUGCCUUGAGGAAUUUGCGCUUGAUCCAAUUGUCAUCCGUGUCCUUACUUCCAUGAUCUCGGAGAGAGACCGCGAGUUUGGUUACUCUCCGAUAAAGCUCAUGAGGUUCUUCAUCUUCUUUCAUUGCAAACUCAUCGGCUUCAUCUUGCCCCACUUCAUAGUUGGAGCGUUGAAUGCUUGUGCUUCCCCGAUAGAGGGAAAUCACUUGUUGCCAAGCAUCUUUGGCAAUGGUGUAGGGCCGGAGAUGAGGAAGAUCUUCGGGUGGGAUUGCUUCUUGGAUGAUGAAGAGAGCAUUCUCAUUGAAUUGAUGGUCCACGACUUCUCUAGGAGUGAAGUUGCUUUGGUCAUGCGGAUAGAAACCUUCUUCAAUGAUUCUCCAAAGGUUAGUGUUCACAUGAUUUAAAUGAUGCUUAAAACGAUAGACCCAAGAAUCAAAUUCUACAUUCUUCUCAAUCUUAGGGGCCGGGCCGGCAUGAUUCAAAUGAGUGGAAGGAAGCGGUCCACCAUAGACAAGUGGAGGUUCCACAUGGGCAAAGAUGCCGGUGCCAUUUUUACCACUAGAAGAAGGAGCUUUCUCGCUAGUAUCUUCCCCCUUGUUGGAGGUAGCAUCCGUCACCUUGUUAGCGGGAUCACCCACUUUCAACGGUGCGGUGGAAAGUUUAAGCCCUUCUAAGAAUUUACUAAAAAUGCUUUCGACCUCGGUCGUCAUGGAGGUUUUCAAUGUGUCCAACGCCACAUUGAAUUCCUCACAAGAGACCGCGGUUCCCCCAUCUCCCAUAGACGAGACCGGAUUCACACCGGAGUGCUCCUCCACACCGUCUACGACGUCAACCAUACUCUUCGGACGGUAAAGUCCUUAAUAAAGAGACGAGGCUCUGAUACCAAUUGAAAGGAUCGAUAUAGUUGACUAGAGGGGGGGUGAAUAGGCAACUAACACUUUUUAGCUUUUCUUUACCAAUUUAAACUUUGCAUCAAAGUAGGUUGUCUAGAUAUGCAACUAGGUGAGCAACCUAUAUGAUGCAACAACAAUAAGCAUACACGCAAGCAAGAGAUAAGGCACAAAUAAGCUUGCACAAGUAAAGGCACGAGAUAACCAAGAGUGGAGCCGGUGAAGACGAGGAUGUGUUACCGAAGUUCCUUCCCUUUGAGAGGAAGUACGUCUCCGUUGGAGCGGUGUGGAGGCACAAUGCUCCCCAAGAAGCCACUAGGACCACCGUAUUCUCCUCACGCCAUCACACAAUGCGAGAUGCCGUGAUUCCACUAUUGGUGCCCUUGGAGGCGGCGACCGAACCUUUACAAACAAGGUUGGGGCAAUCUCCACAACUUAAUUGGAGGCUCCCAAUGAUACCACGAAGCUUCACCACAAUGGACUAUGGCUCCACGGUGACCUCAACCGUCUAGGGUACUCAAACACCCAAGAGUAACAAGAUCCACAAGGGAUUAGUGGGGGGAUUCAAAUAUCUCUUGGUGGAAGUGUAGAUCGGGGCCUCCUCAACCAAUCCCUAGAGAAUCAACAAGUUUGAUUGGCUAGGGAAGGAGAUCGGGCGAAAAUGGAGCUUGGAGCAACAAUGGAGCUUGGAGGUGGAAGAGGUAGUCAACUAGAGGAGGAAGACACCCCUUAUAUAGUGGAAGAACAAAUCCAACCGUUAUCCACCAACUCAGCCUGCGCAGCGCGGUACUACCGCACCUGAGGCGCGGUACUACCGCAGGGGCACGCGGUACUACCGCGGAGCCCCGCGGUACUACCGCCCACGCAACAGAGACCAGAACAGCCACACAUGCCCUAAGGCAGAGGGCGGUAGUACUGCUGGCGUGGUACUACCGCUCCCCUUGCGGUACUACCGCAAGGCAGGGGCUGUCCAGGGAUGGGAAGGCACGGAUAUAGAAAAUUACAUCCGUGGCUACUUCCGCAGAGUUGGAGUCGAUGCAAAAACCCGACGCGGUAGUACCGUAAGCCAGCCGCGGUACUACCGCGCGAGGCGCGGAUGUAAAAAAUUACAUCCGCCCCUUACUGCCGCGUACUUGCGGAACUAAGCAGGGACCACGGUACUACCGCUUACUAGAAGCGGUACUACCGUGGGUCCUUGCGGUACUACCGCACCAGCGGGCGGUACUACCGCAAGGUCCUGCGGUACUACCGCUCUGACGAGCAGUGCUACCGCACCCCUUAGUUCGGCAAACAAGAGCUAUAUUUGCAUAGACAAGGAAAACAUAGGAUGCUCCAAAGGCAAGAGGAAAGGAGGUGCAAGGGACGAUGUGUACGUGAUGAAUCCACCCAACCUUUCCAACGCGGACCCCCUCUUAAUAGUACGGCUUCCCUACGACUCAAUACCACCGAAAAGAACCGAAGAGAAACGCCGUCUUCUAUAGCCUUCGAGGGAAACCCAAUCAUCUUGUGCCUAGUCAAUAUAUCUGAAAUAUUCGAUGCACAUGAUUAGUCCGCAAAAGCAUUGUCAUCAAUCACCAAAACCAACUAAGGGAUAAAAUGCCCUUACAGUAGUCAUGGAUAAGAGAGCACAUCCUCAGGAUGAGCAACAUGGCAGCAAAGCUAAAGCCCAUGGAUGAGGAUCUGGAGAUCAAACCAAAGCUCCUGGUCCACCUAGUCAUGGCUUCACUGCCGAAGGAAUUUGAAGCCUUUGUUGUAAACUACAAUAUGUCACCUGGAACAUGGGACAUUGAAAAGACAAUAGCAAUGUGUGUCCAAGAAGAGGACAGACUCAAAGCCUCACAUGGUGGUUCAAUCAACUAUGUGAAGGAUAAGAAAAAGAAUUACAACCAAAACAGCAAAGGUUCUCCUGCAAAGCCAUAUGGUAAAGCCCCCUAUAAGCAUCAGCGUCAGCAACAGCCUUUCCCAUUGGACAAAGACACUUGUCUCCACUGUAAGAAGACCAGGCAUUACAAGAAAGACUGUCCUGAUUGGCUAAAGUCAAUCAUGGCAAAAAGAGGUAACAAUAUAGUUUCAUUUGUAAAUGAAUCCCUGUAUGCACAGUUUUCAAAAUCCACUUGGUGGAUUGACUCAGGAGCAACUGUUCAUGUUGCAAAUUCUUUACAGGGAUUCCAUUCGACGCGGACUACACUAAGAAGCGAAAGACGCAUUGAAGUGGCAAACGGAGUUGAAGCAGAAGUUGAAGUUGUCGGUGAUAUCUGGAGUUAGCUGAUGGAUUCAAUCUUCUACUUAGAGAUGUUUUAUUUGUUCCAGCAUGUCGUAGAAACUUAAUAAGUGUUUCUUGUUUGGACAAAGAUAAUUAUGAAUGUUAUUUUGGACAUGGCAAGUGUGCCAUUUGGUUAAAUAAUGCUUAUGUGGGUGAUGCUUUACUACAUGAUGAGCUUUAUUUGUUAUCACUUCGUGAAAAAGUUUAUUCCGUUUGCAAUGUGAAAGAAAAUGUUUCCGCGUCGAAUAAAGAACAAAAGAAAAGAAAAGGAACAUUUGACUCAUCGAAAUUAUGGCACUGUCGCUUGGGCCAUAUUUCGAAGGGGAGAAUAGAAGGAUUAGUCAAAAGUGAAAUUCUUCCUCCGUUAGAAUUCUCAGACUUAGAACAAUGCAUAGAUUGCGUUAAAGGAAAGUACGUAAAAUAAAUCAAAAAAAGGUGCAAUCCAUAGCACAGGCACACUAGAAAUCAUCCACACUGACAUUUGUGGACCAUUUCUGGUGAAAAGUGUGGAUGGAUAUGACUCGUUCAUAACAUUCACAAAUGAUUACUCUCGCUAUGGUUAUAUUUAUCCAAUCAAAGAAAGAUCGGAAGCGUUGGAUAAAUUUAAAAUAUUCAAAGCUGAAGUUGAAAAUCAGCAUGAUAAAAGAAUAAAGAUAGUAAGGUCCGACCAUGGGGGAGAGUACUAUGGUCGGCACACUCCAUAUGGCCAAGUCCCUGGACCUUUUGCAAAGUUCUUGCAGGAGACAGGCAUAGUAGCCCAGUAUUCAAUGCCGGGCAAGCCUCAGCAAAAUGGAGUAGCUGAAAGGCGCAACCGUACACUUAUGGAUAUGAUGCGUAGUAUGAUGAGUUAUUCCAACUUUCCAUUGGGAUUAUGGAUGGAGGCGCUUAAAACCGCCAUUCACAUUCUCAAUAGAGUACCAAGCAAGUCGGUGCCCAAAACACCGUACGAGCUAUGGAAAGGAAGGGUGCCAUCCCUACAACACUUCAAGGUGUGGGGGUGCCCUGCUGAGGCCAAAAUGUUUAAUCCAAACAUUGCAAAGUUAGAUCCCAAAACAGUGAGUUGCCACUUCAUUGGCUAUCCAGACAGAUCAAAGGGUUUUCGUUUCUACUGCCCAGACAGAUAUACAAAGUUUGUGGAAACGAGACAUGCAGUCUUCUUAGAGGACGAAAUGAUGAGGGGGAGCUUGGUAACUCGGAAAAUUGAUCUUGAGGAGAAGGGGGUGCAUGCACCUAAUCCGAUGAUUCAGGAGCCAUUUUUCUCACUACCAGUUGCAACUCCACCCAUGACAACUAUGGGGGUAGACCCGGAACCUGUCCGUCAGGAGCCGACUGAACCCGUUGUUGAGCAUGAAAGGGAGAUGCAGCAGCAAAUUUUAGAAGAAGUGCCCGAAGUUGAGGCACAGAAUGUGCCUGAAACCGAGGCCCUUAGAAGGUCUACAAGACCAAGAAAGUCAGCUAUUUCUACUGACUUUAAAGUUUAUAACACAGAAAUGGUUCAUAUGGAAAAAGAUCCCACCUCAUAUGAAGAAGUCAUGAGAAGCCCUCAUUCAUCGAUGUGGAUGAAGGCAAUGGAAGACGAGAUGAAAUCGAUGAGUUCCAAAGAUGUUUGGGACUUAGAGGAAAUUCCUAAAGGAGCCAAAACAGUAGGCUGCAAAUGGGUCUACAAAAUUAAGUAUGACUCUAAAGGGAAUGUAGAAAAGUAUAAAGCACGACUCGUGGCAAAAGGAUUUACACAAGAGAAGGGAUAGAUUACAAUGAGACAUUUUCUCCAGUCUCAUGUAAGGAUUCCUUCAGAAUCAUAAUGGCAUUAGCUGCUCAUUUUGAUUUAGAGUUACAUCAAAUGGAUGUAAAUACGACAUUUCUCAACGGGGAUUUAAAAGAAAAUGUCUACAUGAAAGAACCCAAAGGUUUUAUCAUGGAAGGCAAGGAAAAUAUGGGAUGCCGCCUGAAGAAAUCCAUUUAUGGAUUAAAGCAAGCCUCUAGACAGUGGUAUCUAAAGUUUAAUCAAACGAUUAAAAGUUUUGGAUUUAAAGAAAAUAUUGAGGAUAACUACAUUUAUGCAAAGUUUAAAAAUGGGAAAUAUAUUUUCCUAAUCUUGUGUGUGGAUGAUAUUCUGCUUGCUAGCAGUGAUGUUAGUCUACUACAAGAAACAAAGAAGUUCUUAUCCUCGAAUUUUGACAUAACAGAUCUUGGUGAAGCAUCAUAUGUUUUGGGCAUAGAAAUUCACCGAGAUAGAAACAAUGGAGUCUUAGGACUAUCGCAUAAAGCAUAUUUAGAAAAGGUUCUUAAAAAGUAUAAUAUGCAUGCGAGUAAAGCCACACCUGCUCCUAUAGUUAAGGGCGAUAGUUUUGGGAAAUUCCAAUGUCCCAAGAACCAGUACGAGAUCGAUCAAAUGAAAGCAGUACCAUAUGCUUCGGCAAUUGGCAGCUUAUAGUAUGCACAAGUGUGCACUCGCCCUGACCUAGCUUUUAUCACCGGGGUACUCGGUAGAUAUCAAGAGAAUCCAGGCAUGGAGCACUGGAAGAUGGUAAAGAAAGCAUUGCGUUAUGCACAAGGCACGAAGGACUACAUGCUAAUAUACAGGAGAAGUGAUUCCCUAGAGAUAAAAGGGUAUUCAGGCGCAGAUUUUGCGGGGGACAGAGAUGAUAGAAAAUCCACGUCAGGAUACGUCUUCACUCUCGCUGGGGGAGCUAUUUCGUGGAAAAGCUCCAAACAGUCGAUAGUUGCAUCAUCCACGAUGUAUGCAGAAUUCAUAGCAUGCUUCGAGGCCACGGGGCAGGCGAUAUGGCUAAAGAAAUUUGUACCCGACUUGAAAGUGGUAGAUUGUAUUCACAAACCACUAAAGAUGUACUGUGAUAACCAGCCCGCAGUAUUCUAUGCUCACAACAACAAAUCGAGUAAUGCUGCCAAAACAAUAGAGAUAAGGUAUUAUGUUGUGAAAGAUAAAAUCCAGGAUCAAACUAUAAGUCUCGAGCAUAUAAGGACAAAAGAUAUGCUUGCGGAUCCGCUAACGAAAGGCUUACCACCCAAUGUGUUCAAGGAACACUUAGCCGGCAUGGGUUUAAGGGAAAGCCUUAUGAUUCCUGGAUAGGCCCAAAAGAAACAGAAUUUGUUUCUGAACAUAACGUAUGUUGUAGCUGUAUGAUUCUAUCGGCAAUUAAGCUGUGACGAUGAAACAUGCUCUAUGUACCAAUAAGUGAUGAAACAAAUAAACUAGAAAGUAUAAAGUUAAAAGUAAAGUUGAGAUCAAGGGGGAGAAUGUUAGGUUGAUCUCUCUCUCUCUCGUUCGAACCCAACGGGUCGAACGGGCCCCUGACUCGCGCCCCGAUCGGGGGCGCCCAACCAAACCAUGGUUGGUGGGUCCCUGUGACCCGCGCUAUAUAAACAGAGGUGGGGGCCGGGGCACGACUUACGAGGUUAAUCGCUCCCACAAUCCCCACCUACAAUCCCUACCGAUCUAGGGUUAGCGCGGUGCUCAUGGGAAGCACACCACCGCCGCCAUCUCACUGCCAUCACCGCUGCCACAACAUCACCAUGGUUGCUGGUUCGAGCUCGCAAGGCAAGGCAGAAUGUAGGUUUACCGGAUCGAUCUAACCUAUCCGAUCCAAAGUGAAUCUAUCAGUAUCAUGCACUUGGGACUCGCAAACAUGCUUACGUGGCAGGCAAUUAAAGAAGAGAGAGACGGUUAUAGUAACAUAGGUAGAUACCGUAACAUAAUAAAUGUGAUACUACUAUGUGUUAUGCAUGGCAAUAAAUGAGACCAUCUAUGAUACUAAUCUAUAAUACUAUGCACUAUAAAAGUAGUAAUAUAGACUAGUAACAUAUGGAUGUUACUAGUCCAAGUUACUCACCACUAUGACCAGACUGCGACAGACACGACGCGGACCAGCUUCAGGAGGACGGCUCAGCUCCUGACACGAGCCCACCUGAGCCUUCCACGGCGGACGCACAAACAGAAACCGGCCGUCCGCGGAAUUAUUAAAUGCCUCUCUCAACUACCACCGCUCAAUAGCUACCUGUUGGCCAAAAUAUCCCACUCCCCCCUUGUUAGCACACACUGCAGUUUAUGGGCUAAAAACUACAAGCCACUACAAUGUCAGUCAUCAUUAAAGCUGAGUUUCUCUCAAACUUAAGACUGAGGGCCUGUUUGGUUCCAAAUAAUUAAGUCACCAACUUAUAAGUCGAAAAGUGAAAAAGUGACUUAUUUUGCCAAACAGACCCAACUUAUAAGGGCCUGUUUGGUUCCAAAUAAGUCACCAACUUAUAAGUUGAAAAGUGAAAAAAGUGACUUAUUUUGCCAAACAGACCCAACUUAUAAGUCACUCCAACUUAUAAGUCAUAAGUUGCUCCACCCCAACUUAAAACUUAUAAGUCACCCCAUUUUACAUGGGUCCCACCACCUUCACAUAAAAAAACAAGGUGGGAAUGUGUGGUCAGGUGACUUAUAAGUCAGGUGACAACCAAACACGCGUGACUUAUAAGUCACUGGUUUUAAGUCACCUGACUUAUUGGAACCAAACAGGCCCUAAGUCAUCCCCAACUUAUAAGUCAUAAGUUACUCCACCCUAACUUAAAAUUUAUAAGUCACCCCUUUUACGUGGGUCCCACCACCUUUACAUAAAAAAACAUGGUGAAAAGGUAUGGUCAGGUGACUUAUAAGUCAGGUGACAACCAAACAAGAGUGACUUAUAAGUCACUGGUUUUAAGUCACCUGACUUAUAAGUCAGGUGACUUAUUGAAACCAAACAGGCCCUGAACUUGGUAGCAAAAGGAACAACAACACCCAGCGCGACACCAAAUAUACAGUGUGAGAUGGAGAACGCAGCACUUUUUUCCCGCCACUAGAGCCUUUGUCAUACACUUCUUGCCUCCACCCGGAUCUGGUAGAGGAGAAAUGAAGCGUCAUUAAUGACAGAAUGAAAAAAGGAACAUAAAAAUAACAAUAAAUAUGAUAUAAAAGAUUCAGAGCAGAUGCAAGUUAUUCUGUAAAGCUACAGAGCUGAUUCAACCAUGGUACACCACUGAUUCAGCAAAAGUAAAAUCUGAUUCCCAACUCAAAAAAAACUAUAGAUAUUCAGAGCAGAUUCUGUAGAUAGAAAACUGAGAACUAUAAGGUACAAGAGUUAUUUAUUCAGAUCAUCAUCUUCUUCUUCUUCAGUCAACCAACCAAGGAACCAGGGAAGAUAAAUGGAUAGCUUAAAAUUAACCUCUUGUUCGGCAAACUCGUGCACAAGCUGUAGUCGAAGCCCAGAACAAAAUGAAUGUUUGGUGGUCUAUUGCAUUGGCCAUGCACGCAUUCAGUCAGUUGGUCAGUCAGCACCGUUAGAAGAACACGUUACGCUGGGAUGUCGUGAUCUAACGAGCAGUGCUCCAGACUCUUUUGAAAAUCGGGUUCAACUUACUAGCCACAAAUAGGUUCAUGUGCUCUGAUUUCAUCGUCAGCUACACCAAAAGUUAGAUAUAGGAAACCAAAUUAUACCGGCUAAAUAUUUAGUAUCAAGAAAACCACCAGAUAAUCUUUAAGAAAUAACAAGACUUCGAUUAAUAAAAACCAAAGCCAAUUCUUCAGUUCAAAGCCAAAAAGAGACAAGGCAGAUCAAUUCGCAACUAUUUCAAAUGCUGACCAAGACAACUUGGUAAUUUUAAUGCCAACAUGCACGGUAGCUAUUCAGCCCAAAUUCGAAAACUGACAACAACUUGCCAUCCAUAUCAACCUGAAGUAGCCACUCGUCAAAUUUGAAAACCAAGCCAAUUCUUCAGUUCAAAGGAAAACAGAGACAUGAGGCAGAUCAAUUGGCAACUAUUUCAAAAGCUGACAAAAAAUAAUGCAUAAUUUUAGACAGUAUGCAUGACAUUUUUUGCAAAUAUUUAUUAUAUAAAUUUGCCUCGGUGUGAACAUGUAACAUGCUGCCGAUUGCCCUGUUUUCUUGUACCACCUAAUUAUCAUUUUGACUGCAUAGUUGAAAUGAUAUAGAAGCUUUGGAUCUUCAGUUAGAUAAAUCACAAAGCUGACUAUCAACAAGCAGACCAGCACACUGGGCAAUAGGCGAAGAAGAUUUACAAGUUGUAUAUAUUUUGCUUGCAUGUCGCUCUAUCGCCAAGUUUGUCCUCCUAACUAGUCCACCCUGGUAGAAGACAGACUUCGUCAGUUAUUUUAACAUCAUGUAGGUGGUCUGGGAAUUACUGUUUUAUAAAAUUGGAAUGAUUAAUACUCACUACCAUUGUCCGCUUCUCAUAGAUUUCUUCACGCUCAAGAUCAAACUGGAGUUGCAUCGCAUGUACUGCCUUACAAAUAUGUGCAUCGGGCUUGCAGUCGGCAUGUAAGACUUCAACACGUGGUUCGCGCUCUCACUCCGUUGUACUUAUCAAGCAACAUGCCCAUGUUGUCGCGAACUCAUCCUUUUUUCAGCAUGUGAUUCACAACUUUACGGAACUCCGCUUGAAAGUAACUCUUCUUCGUCUACAGUGGUCCCAAGCUUUCCUUCGUCUUCUUUAGGACAUGCCAUUUGCACCACCGGCGCACAGUGUCUGGAGACACCUUGCUGAUUGCGACCUCCAUGGCCCUGUUCUGGUAUGCUCAAAAUGCAUAGCAUAGUCAGUUCUAUGUUUCAGAAGCAAAAUGUCAUAAGCAAGAUAAAAUAAAUAUAAACCUAAUGCUAUCACCUGUAGUAUUGUCCUGGGUGCAGGCCCUCCCGUCAUGCUCAGGAACUCAGCAAAAACCCAUUCAAAACUCUCAACCUACUCAUCUCUCAUCACCACACCAGCAUGGAUAAUGCUUUGGAAGUGAUUGUUUACUCCGAAAAACAAACCAAAUGGCAUGUCAUAUAAGUUGGUUCUGUAUGUUGUGUCAAAUGUUACCACAUCACCCAAGAACUGGUAUUGCAUCCUACUGAUUCCAUUUGUCCACAUCAAAUUCUUCACUCAGCUUUCACUGUUCGCGAGCACUCGACUUUCACUGUUCACUAGCACUUCGUCCUUUCAGCAUUUAGUCUGAUUUUGCCAUACCGGAUCCCAAAUCCAGUCUCCCACGAAUAGAGAUUGUAGAAGUCGUAUGCCUUACCAAGUGAGUCGAAGGUGAGGGUAACACUUCUAGUAGGUUCUUCGGCAUAUUUUCUUAUUGUCUGCUCCGAUGCACCCAUCCGAGGACACGGUGUCCUGUCCAGGGUGCACUUCCUAGACGCAACCUGAGAUUUUACAGUAAAAAAACAUUGGCAUUUUGCAACAAAAGAAAAAAAGGUUUCCCUGGUGACAUUUUUGUCUGUAUUUCCAAUAUUGAUCUCAAACAUGAGAUUUUACAGUAGAAAAACGUUGGACUCUUCAAAGAAGAAAAAAAAAAUCAUGCAUAUUCUCUCAUUCCUAUCAGGUUGUUCAUCGUUCCAGUAUUUUGAUCUCAAACCAGAUUUUUUUUUCCGUAACAAAGAACAUUGGGCUGUUCAAAAAAAAAAAAAAAUCCUGCAUGUUUUCUCAUUGCUUACAAGUUUUGUCAGGCUUUCAGUAUUUUUUAUCUCAAAACCUACAUGUCUGCCAACGUCUCGCGUGCAAGGUUUAUAAUUUAUGAAAAAAUGGAAUUAGUUUCAGCUCACCUCUUCGUCCACCAAGGGGCCUCUGGGUUGACCCGGUCAGUUAAUGUUCUGAAGCAGUGGGGGAUGAAUCUUGACGCCCGUCGGUCGCCGCAGUUCGGUGGCUACGGGCCACACCCCCAACAUUCUGCACGCUACCAGAGUCAACAUUUUGUUCUUGUUCACUAGUCGGAUCCGCUAGCCCAGCAGUUAACAACGCAAGUGGCACUGGAUCUAGGUUUUCCAAACUACUAUAUCUGCUAACUCUUCUCCAAGGGGAAAACAUGCAGAAACACACGCCAUUUGCAUCAGCAAAACUUAUCAAGAAAUAAGAUCCGCCAGGCCGCCAAUCUACUCAAACAUCGGACAAAGCAGGGAUUUUACUGGUACACGGAUCCACUUACCGGCCCUGGAUGGCAUCUAGCAGGAACUCUAAACCACCGUCCUCCAUCGAUCUGACUCCGGCGAUUUAAGCAGCCGCAUCGGUGCGACAGAGUGGGUCGGGGUGGUAUGAUUGAUUUGUUCAUGUUCUUUUUUUGAGAGAGAUUUGUUCAUGUUUUUACCCCAAAGCUCACCCGACAUUAGUGGCUAAAUCGUUAGUUACCCGAACGGCUCAGCUAUAUCGCGACGUCCUGUACGGCGCUCCUGUUCCUGGAUCUGUGUGUUUGGUUCUUGUCCUCGCACAAAGGUGCCUGGCCUGGAGGGGUGCCUGAAAGUUGCCUGGACCUUGUUCGGUUGCUGGCCUGGUGAUCUUUCUGCUAGCCUGGCCUGGACGGACGUACAACGGUGAUUAGCCUGGCCAACAUGCAGGCACACAAUUAACCUGACCCAGGCUACGUGGAAGGGAAGCCUGGACACAAAAUUUGAGAUGCCUGGCCAUCCAUUUCCCCGACAAGUAUUUCCGGACGGAGGGAGUGCAAACAAAGGGUUGCAGCAAUUAAAGAACUAGGACCUGGCAUAGUACUAGUUUAAUAGUCGUUCACGCCCAGGAAGCGAACCAAACGCCUUCUCGCUCAGGCAGCCUGGUCAGGCAAUAUCCGCCCGCUUUUCAGGCACAGGUCAGGCAUUUAUUUUUGCCUGGCACAGAGACUAGGUCACGAACCAAACACCAACGAUCCCAGCCACGGAUCAUAUGCGCGUACUCCGCCAGGAGGUCCCCCGUACGCUUCGGGCCCGCCCAUGCGACACAGUUCUGUACAGUAUUGCAUCGGUAAGUCAGAUUUCUGGAUUUACUACGUUCCCUGACACAUGAAUUGUUCACAUCCCGAGACAACAAUAGACUGCCGCGACUUCAGGUGCAGCUGAGCCCAGGCACCAAAUCGCCGCGUCCCGCGCAUGCCACUCUAUUUUACCUUUAUCUGUUGAAGCGGCCAAGAAUUGCAACUCCUUGCUGAUCAAUUUGUCCAAGCCCAAGUAGAGCCCAUGAUGUGUCAUUUUUAGGUCCAGCAAAUACUACAAAAUUUUCAUCAGAUGCCUUGUCCAUCCGGCUUUCUUCCCUCUAUCUGGAAGACUAAGUGCACGAUGAAGCAUCUUCACUUGACUGUUGAUGGUGGAUCGUUUGAACGCCAGGGACAUUCUUCGUUGUAGGCAUUAUAUAAUUGGUGAUAAUUUUUCUUGCCUACCAUGUCAUCCAUCUGCUGAUGAGACACGUAAUCGCGCAUUUUUUUUCAAUGUCCAUCCAGCCAAGUCUGUUGGGGUAUCCUUGGUAAUUUGACCUAUAUGCUUGAUGUGGUUGAUUCAGUCAGGUUAGGUCCUUUGUUCAGUGAGAUUGUUUUUGGGGCCCUGGAACAUUUGAAAUAUUAGAAAUGGUGCAUACUUUGAUGGUGUGACCCUGGCCAUAGCUCCUGGCUUAGGCAGCUUUGUGUUAAUCUCACUAAACGUGGGUUUAGGGUUAAACCUGAGCACAAAGCUUUCUUGUAUGCUUUCAAAGGCAAUCUUCACUACUAUUGUAAUCUCUCCUUCCCCAAUAGGUCAAAAUUGUCCUAGUUCUUUAUAAAUAUAUAUUCUCUAUUUAAUAUAGGACAAUAGGAGCCUCUCAUGUUGUUUUAUCUGGUCAAAAAAGGCGAAUGGAGAUCACUCGAAAUAACUCUGAUAGUUCACAAUGCCGCAUGGAAUACAUUAUCCUUCAUUCCUGAUUGUAUACUUGUAUAUGAAAAAGUACUGAAAUAUGGUAAUUUUUGUUGUCUCAUUACAUGACUGACUACCAUGUGUAAACAAUCAAGAUACAAACUUUGAAGCCCAACUCUAUAAUCAUACACUAUGGCACAUAUUUGAGAUAUGCAUGGUGCGCGGUGGCGCGUCCGUGGUGGAGCAGUGGCUGUUGUGGCAGCAGGCCUGUCUGUCAGCUGGAUCAGGCGGAUCUUGACUUGUCUUGGACUUGGUGCCAAUGUUGGCACGUCCUUGCAUCAUUACUUUGAGGAAGGCGUCGUUCCCGAGACUUGAUCUUUUGGCCGGAGCACCUAGUUUGUGGUGAUGUGGCUAGUUUGAAGCUGUCGGUGGCCUGAUGUGUGUUCCCAUUAGGGCCGGCCGACGAUGGUGGGUAGUUGGAGGACUCUCGGCACAUGGCGGCAUCUAUCAAUCGUCCUCUCGGAACCAGAGCGGCACAUGUCCACUCCUCUUUGGAUAUGUCCUCUCUCUGAUGUCGAUGAAGUCGUCAAACAUGCUUGUGGCGGACAAGGCCAAUGUGGUGGAAAGAUGCACUUGAUGGAGUUGCAGCGGCAUUCUCGGGUCAUGAGUGCGAAUAGCGAUGUAUGUUGACGCUGCUUUCAUCCGUGACGUGCUUUUACGUGUAUUGUGUUUUCUCGGCCUUUUGAUAUUUUAUAUUUUGUGAUACUUUAGAGCUAGUUUAGUUAGAUGGGUGUGAUCUUUGUAGUACAUGUUUUCACCAAGUUAAACGGAGGAGUUUUCUUUGUCCGCAAUGAAUCAUGAAUUUUACAAUUAUUUGAUACUUUUAAGGAGGCAACAUCAUCAUUCUCUUCAUCAAAAUCGACAUCAUCAUCACUCUUGCCAUCAUCAAUAUUAUCACAAGAUAUAUUGGGAUUUAAAGUGGGAGAUACCUUUGAAGCCUUGGCCAUAAGGCAAAAAGCAAUAGAUGAUGAUGUGGGAUCCCUUGAAGCACCCUUCAAGACCACAUCUUGUUCCAUGGAGUGUUGGGUUUCCUCUACAUUGUUAGCACAACAAUUCGAGGAAAUAGAUACAUUUUCAUCAUGGCAACAAGACAUAGCAAGCAUAUCAUCAUGAGAUUUGAGCAAGCAAUUUCUACAUGAUAUGCAGGAACUUUUAACACAAGCAUGUGAAAUAUUUAGAGUGCUCGAAGUGUUAAAGUCCAAAGAAGGACCAUUGCAAUAAGAUAGUGAUGAAGAAUCACCAAGAACAAGCACACUAUCAUCAUUGCAAUGACCACCACUACUCACCCUAACAUUACCUUGUGGCAAUCCACAUAUAGGUGAAGUAGAAGAAGUUGAGAAGGCAACACGGCCGGAGGUGAAGGGAGAACAAUCAUCCCCACAAAUCUUGGACACACCAUAUUUAUCUUGAAGCUUUGUCCAUAACUCAUGAGCAUCCCGGAACGGCAUGAGUUGAAAUAUAACUACAUUGCUCAAAGCAUCGAAAAGCACAUUAGAAGCUUGAGCAUUGAGAUAAGAGUUUUUCUCAUCCUCUAAAGAUAAUCUUUGGGGAUCCUUUGGAGGAGAAAAACCCAUAUCUACAAUUCGCUCUAAAUUUGGGUCCAUGACCCUAAAGAGAUUAAGCAUGCGAAUAACCCAAACAUCAAAAUUUGUGCCAUCGAAACUAAGAGUGACAGAGAAUCCUAAUCCCCUAGUCGACAUCUUUACUCUCUAGGCGGUUAAGCCUAACAAAGAGAGACGAGGCUCUGAUACCAAUUGAAAGAUCGUGGAUGUCGCCUAGAGGGGGGGUGAAUAGGCGUUUUAAAAUAAUUACGAUAUAGGCUUGAACAAAUGCGGAAUAAACCUAGCGGUUAAUUUGACAAGCACAAAACCUACAACAACUAGGCUCACCUAUGUGCACCAACGACUUAUGCUAAGCAAGAUAAACAACUAAGUGAUAGCAAGAUAUAUGACAAGAAACAAUAUGGCUAUCACAAAGUAAAGUGCAUAAGUAAAGGGUUCGGGUAAGAGAUAACCGAGACACGCGGAGACGACGAUGUAUCCCGAAGUUCACACCCUUGCGGAUGCUAAUCUCCAUUUGGAGCGGUGUGGAGGCACAAUGCUCCCCAAGAAGCCACUAGGGCCACCGUAAUCUCCUCACGCCCUCGCGCAAUGCAAGAUGUCGUGAUUCCACUAAGGGACCCUUGAGGGCGGUCACCGAACCCGUACAAAUGGCAACCCUUGGGGGCGGUCACCGAACCCGUACACUUUGGCAACCCUUGGGGGCGGUCACCGGUACCCGUCAAAUUGCUCGGGGCGAUCUCCACAACCUAAUUGGAGACCCCGACGCUUGCCUGGAGCUUUACACCACAAUGAUUGAGCUCCGAACACCACCAACCGUCUAGGGCGCCCAAGCACCCAAGAGGAACAAGCUCAAGGGCACCAAGCACCCAAGAGUAAUAAGCUUCUCAACUUGUAACUUCCACGUAUCACCGUGGAGAACUCAAACCGAUGCACCAAAUGCAAUGGCAAGGGCACACGGAGUGCCCAAGUCCUUCUCUCUCAAAUCCCACCGAAGCAACUAAUGCUAGGGAGGAAAAAGAGAGGAAGAACAAGAAGGAGAACACCAAGAACUCCAAGAUCUAGAUCCAAGGGGUUCCCCUCACAUAGAGGAGAAAGUGAUUGAUGGAAAUGUGGAUCUAGAUCUCCUCUCUCUUUUCCCUCAAAAACUAGCAAGAAUCCAUGGAGGGAUUGAGAGUUAGCAAGCUCGAAGAAGUUCAACAAUGGGGGAAGAACACGAGCUCAAAAGAUAAGGUUCAUUGGGGAAGAAGACCCCCUUUUAUAGAAGGGGAAAAAUCCAACCAUUAUGUGCUCAGCCCGCACACGAGCGGUACUACCACUCCACGAGCGGUACUACCGCUCUGGCGGAAGAAGCAGGGAAAAGGAGCAACCAAACAUGAACCUUGGGGCGGUAGUACCGCUUAUAAGCGGUACUACCGCGCACCCCAGCGGUACUACCGCUGGAGGAGCAGAACACGGGACCAAAAAUGCAGUAGCGGUACUACCGCCCGACCGGAGCGGUACUACCGCUUAUAGGCGGUACUACCGCCCAUCAGGGCGGUACUACCGCUUAUAGGUGGAACUGCCGUGCCUUACUGCCGUGCAACUACUGCAAAACUCGACACGAAAAAUGCAAGACCCAAAAUCGAGGCGGUACCAGCGCGGAACCGUAGCCGUACUACCGCUUAUGGCCAUAGGCGGUACUACCGCUUGGGGCAAUAAGCGGUACUGCCGCUCUGGCCGCGGUACUACCGCUAGGAAACCAAAACUGCCAUAACUUCUGCAUAUGAGCUCCGAAUUGAGCAAACCCAAGCUUGUUGGUUAUAGUAAGAAGAGGCAGGGGAGGUAUGCCAAAAAAUAGAGGAGUGAAACCUCCAACCGAGAAGAACCGGCAUAACCUCCAACAUCGAAAACAUCAUAGAAGAUGCGAGUGAACUCCGUUUUCGAUGAACUCGAGCUUGUCAUCAAGAUGACCAUAAGCUCCAAAACUCACAAAGAGAAGAACCAAACAAGAACCAACAAAGAUGAUGCAAGGAUGCAAUGGUUUGAGCUCUCUAUGAACGAUACGAUCAAGCUACUCAUUGAGAGCCCCCCUUGAUAGUACGGCAAUCGAUCCUAUAACCCGGUCUCCCAACUACCAUCAUGAGACCGGUAAAAUAGAAAACCUAUCAAGAGCAAACCAUUGCCUUGCACAUGGUCCACUUGAGCUAGAUGAUGACGAUCUUGACUCCCUCAAGUUGGACCACCUUUCUUGGUUGUGUUGACUCGAUGAAGACUAGUUGAUUGCUCCCCCAUACUCCACUAUGGGUGAGCCACUCUUCCGCACAUCUUCACCAGUCCAUUGUCACCACAAUGGACGGCAAGCUUCAAGCAUUUGAUCUCGUCAUGAUGCUUUACUUGAACUUGCGCACCGCAACAUCUUCACAAGUCCAUUGUCGCCACAAUGGACGGCAAGCUUCAAGCAUUUGAUCUCUUCAUGAUGCUUCACUUGAACUUGCACACCGCAACCUAACCCCACAAAGAACUCUCACGAAGAUCAUGGGUUAGUACACAAAGCGUAAUUGACAAUGCUUACCACACCAUGGGAUCGCUUGAUCCCUUUCGGUACAUCUUGUGCGCUUUGUGUGUUGAUCAACUUGAUUCACUCUUGACUUAGUCUUGAUCAACCUUGACUCUUUCCAACUCUCUUCAUUUGGAUGAUGUCUUGAAGGUAAACAUGAAUGAUCACACAAUCUUCUUCUUCAAGACAUGCUUGCAAUAACUUCUACUUUCACAUGACCAAUCUUUGGAUAAUUCCUUAAUAACACCUUGGUCACCACAUAAACUCCUUGAAACCAACACAUGGACUUCAAGAAAUGCCUAUGGACAAAUCCUUCAAAUAUAACUCAAGGCAACCAUUAGUCCAUAGGGAUUGUCAUCAAUUACCAAAACCAAACAUGGGGGCACCGCAUGUUCUUUCAACCUAGUUUGUGGUGAUGUGGCUAGUUUGAAGCUGUCGGUGGCCUGAUGUGUGUUCCCAUUAGGGCCGGCCGACGAUGGUGGGUAGUUGGAGGACUCUCGGCACAUGGCGACAUCUAUCAAUCGUCCUCUCGGAACCAGAGCGGCACAUGUCCACUCCUCUUUGGAUAUGUCCUCUCUCUGAUGUCGAUGAAGUCGUCAAACAUGCUUGUGGCAGACAAGGCCAAUGUGGUGGAAAGAUGCACUUGAUGGAGUUGCAGCGGCAUUCUCGGGUCAUGAGUGCGAAUAGCGAUGUAUGUUGACGCUGCUUUCAUCCGUGACGUGCUUUUACGUGUAUUAUGUUUUCUCGGCCUUUUGAUAUUUUAUAUUUUGUGAUACUUUAGAGCUAGUUUAGUUAGAUGGGUGUGAUCUUUGUAGUACAUGUUUUCACCAAGUUAAACGGAGGAGUUUUCUUUGUCCGCAAUGAAUCAUGAAUUUUACAAUUAUUUGAUACUUCUUUCGUCCCAAAAUAAGUGUCUUGAUCUUAGUACAACUUUAUACUAGAGUUAAUACAAAGUUGAGACACUUAUUUUGGGACGGAGGGAGUACUUUUCAUAUAAAAUAGAUGCUUGUUCAAAAGCAAUCUAUGAGUUUGAACCGCUUUACAAUAAAUAAACGAAUAUGUAUAUGGCAACCGUGUGGCAGAUUGCGAAACUGCCACACGCAUCCAGCGCCGUCAGUUCCCUCCCGAUCUCCUUUCUUUCCCGCACGUCCUCCCCGACCGACCUCCCCUGAUUUCUUUCCUUUCCCGCACGCCCUCCCCAAUUUUAUCGGGCACACCCGCUCGUGCCUUCCUAAUUUUCGUAAUCGUCAACUAUGGCCCCACGCGCCUUCCCGAUUUUCGGGCAAAAAUAAUGCUUUGACUAGGAUUUGAUCUCUGGUCUGCAGGUAAUCAACAAAGGGAGCUAACCACCUCACCUAUGACACUCAUUGUUGAACAAGCUAAGGGGAAUACUGUUUUUGACAUGUUUUUUCCUUUAAUAUGUUAGCACUAAAAAACUCUUUUGUUUCAAGCAUCGUGGUAACUUUGAUCAUUGGGAAUAAAUUUGUUGNNNNNNNNNNNNNNNNNNNNNNNNNNNNNNNNNNNNNNNNNNNNNNNNNNNNNNNNNNNNNNNNNNNNNNNNNNNNNNNNNNNNNNNNNNNNNNNNNNNNNNNNNNNNNNNNNNNNNNNNNNNNNNNNNNNNNNNNNNNNNNNNNNNNNNNNNNNNNNNNNNNNNNNNNNNNNNNNNNNNNNNNNNNNNNNNNNNNNNNNNNNNNNNNNNNNNNNNNNNNNNNNAUAACAUUCACGCCAUAGACCUGAUAAUUUAGAUACAAACAUCGUGGUAACUUUAACCAUUGGGGAAGACAAAUGUGAAAAGAUACCCGAUAAUUUAUGUGUAAAUAGAUGGUAAUAUACGCAGCGCACAUAUGAUAACUGAGGUAGAAACACCAUGGUAACUUUGACCGUAGGGAAUAUUUUCUUUUUUGGAAAAGAUACUCCGGUAUCUUCUGUGUAAAUAGCACGGUAGUAUACCUCCUUCCCCUGGCAUUUUUAUGUGUAAAUAGCAUGAAAACAUAUGCACUGCGAUAACUAAACACCAUGAUAAGUUUUUGACCGAGGAGGGUGGGGGAUUUGCUGAAACAUACCCCUGAUAAAAUUUGUGUAAAUAGCAUGAUAUUUUAAGUACUACGGGCUUGAUAGGUUACCUAGAAUCACCAUGAUAACUUUUUGUCCCGGGAAAAAGUUGUUCAAAACAUCCCCAAUAAUUUUUGUGUAAAUAACAUGAUAAUAUAAGCACCGCAUAACCGAUAACUUGCAAUAUAAACAUGAUGGUAACUUUUUUACCAAAGGAAAAUAGUUGUUAAAAACAUACACUCGCCUCGCGUGUGGGCCUCUUGGAUGAACACAACACAUGGCGUGCCACGGGAAAGUCACAUAAUGUUUAGUGUCAUGAGGGGCACACGUGCUAUAGGCGUGAUAAGUUAUGCAAAAACAUCAUGGUAAUUUUUGACCUAUGGAAAAAGCUACCGAAACACACCUAGGUUUUUAGGUGCAAGUACCAUGAUAAUAUACGAACUGUAGACCCGGUAACUCAUGUACAAUCCCCCAUGGUAACUUUGACGGGGGGAGGUUGAUGUACAUACACACUGAUAACUUAUGUGUAAGUACCACGGUAUUUUACGCAUCGAAGACCUUAUAACUUGUGUACAAAACACAGUGGUAACUUUGAAGGGGUGUAGUUGUUGAAGCAUAGUACCUGGUACGUUCUAUGUAAAUAGCACGGUAAGUUACGCAACACAGGCAUGAUAACUUGCAUACGAAUACCAUGGUAACUUUGUCCUGAGGAGAAAUCAUGUGGUAGACGUGAAGAAGUGGCAGUUUUCUUGGGGAUGGGCGCGCGAGAUGUGCGGGAAAAGCAGGUUUCUCAGGCGAGCCUGUGGGGUCGUUUGGGAGGAGGCGAGGUCAAAGGACGAGGGAUCGUGUGGUACUUUAAAAUGAAAGAAGUAGAGGUGUGGCAGUUUUGCUUAUAUGGCACACGUGUGCCAAAUAUCACAGUCCAUAAAUAAAUCAUAAGAUUUCAUCUAUUUUUUUAAGUUGAAACUUCAAAAGGUUCGACUUGAAAGUUGAAAAAAAAAGGAUUCCCCCGAGCGAGCAAAGAAGAGACAGGGGCACGAUCGAUCCCAACAAGGCCACACAACCCACAACCACUCUCGCCCUAGCACCUUCGCCGGCGGCGGCCUAUCUCUCUCGUCCCCUGCUCUGGCCCUUCGCCGGCAGCCGGCGGCCUAUUUUCUCCUCCGCCGACCGGAUACAAGCCGCACCGUCAGUCGCUCAUCCUUCGCCUUGCCAUUAAUUUUUUUCCAGAUCUGAGCUUAUUAUUCCUCCUCCACGCCAUAUAGCAGCAGACCUUCCCUGCAGGUCUGAUUUGCCGAUGAAUGUCCUGCUUCCUCUUUGUGCUUGAUUUUCAUCCAUACGGUUAGUGUAGAAGUAUUAUCUAUCAGUCUAUGGUGCUGGGUGGAUUUACGAGAAACAGAAAUUUCGAGCCGAGAGAACAUAUGCUACCUAGAUUGAAUGGAAACGGUGAACCAGAAAUUUCGAGCUUGAAAAAGAUACAUCACAUAUCUUUAUGAGUACCUUAUCCAAAUAAUUUACUAGAUAAUCUGAGAUGAAAUCUUAUUUUCUUAAAAAUCAGAAUUGCUCUGUUUCCCCGAUGAGUUUAGGUUAAUGUAACUCAGCAGCAAUUCAUUCUUUUGCAAAAUCUAGAUAUACAUGAAAUCUAAGGAAUAUGAGUGAUUUAUAAAGUGAUAGGGGGUAUAAUAAAUUGAUUUAUUACUAGUAAUGAUACAUUUGUGUAGCAAAGUUCUUUUGUCUCUUUUAAGUCUCUUUGUUUCGGUUUUAUUUUCUCACAAGUGUCAGUUUUUCCUUUCAGUGACAGUAAGCUAACAUAAAGACAUGGACCUUCACAAGAAACUCACUGCUGUUAGUUUAACUGAUGAUCUAGUGGUUGAUAUCCUCUCCCGGCUGACGUACAAGUCAUUUUGCCGCUGCAAGUGUGCCUAUAAGGCCUGGUCUGCCUUUUCCUCUGACCCAGACUACCGCGAGAAGCUGCCCAAAAAAGUAACCACUGGACUUCUGUACCAAGGUCACAAUAAGUCUGCUAUCCCGCUUGUAAGCCUGUGCCCAGAUGAUGGGGAAAUAGACGGAAUUCUUGCUGAUGUGCCACACUAUGAGCAUUUAGAAUUCCUCGACUGCUGCAAUGGUUUAGUCCUUUGUAAGUAUAGGAGCAGCUAUACUUCUACAAACGUUUGCCGCUUCGUUGUGUGCAACCCAGCAACACGAGAGUGGAGGAUACUUCCUGAUACACAUCCUGGGACAGAUGACCCUCGUUAUGUAACUAUUUUGGCGUUUGAUCCAUCAUGGUCACCGCAGUUCUAUAUCUUCAAUUUUCAUCUGAAACGUGUCCAUGGUUUGAUACUUGGUACCAGCAAACUUGAGAUAUUCCAGUCUGAAAGUUCGACAUGGCUCGAGGAUGAUACCUUGGACCGAGAUAUAAAUAUUUCGGGGCGAACGCACUUAUUUGUUAAUGGAAUGUUGUAUGUGUCUGUUGGGUAUGAAGUUUUGGUGUUUGAAGGCCUGGAGGCAAUGAGUGAUGGCAUACCGCCCUAUCAUCAGACCAUAAGUUUGCCGCCUGAAGCUUCAUACCUGAGCACUUUUACCAAUGGUUGCUUUGGCAAAUCUUCAGGGAUCUUACACUAUGCAUUGCCACAUGAGAAUGGUCGCUCAAUUGUUGUGUGGACAUUGGAUGAUUUUGGUCAUCAUUCAUGGACUUGGACUAAGAUGUGUCAUCUUAGCAUGACCGAUGCGUUUGGAAAGGAUGAGUUUGUUCACUAUGACGAUGGUGGCGAUGGUGGUGAGGAUAAAUGGUUUUGGAACUGCGAUUAUCGGAUUGCCGACCUCGACUUGGAGAGAGGUUUUGUUUUCCUCCAUGACCAGAAGGCAAAUAAGCUUCUUUCAUACAAUAUCAGCGCGGGGAAACUCAACGAGAUACAAGACGCCUUUGGGUGGGAUCUAUACUAU
This 44033-nucleotide long non-coding RNA is filed under the name Triticum aestivum (bread wheat). RNAcentral describes it as "long non-coding RNA (TAES_LNC013666)". The stretch from base 5493 to 5627 matches the Rfam family "MIR1120/MIR1122 microRNA precursor family". Lineage: Eukaryota; Viridiplantae; Streptophyta; Magnoliopsida; Poales; Poaceae. The record is from RNAcentral.